RNAcentral lists this ribosomal RNA (253 nucleotides) under uncultured bacterium. RNAcentral describes it as "partial 16S ribosomal RNA". It matches the Rfam family "Bacterial small subunit ribosomal RNA", at positions 524 to 776 of the family's 1533-position model. The record is from RNAcentral.
UACGAAAGGGGCUAGCGUUGUUCGGAAUUACUGGGCGUAAAGCGCACGUAGGCGGCCUUGUAAGAUGGGGGUGAAAUCCCCGGGCUCAACCCGGGAAUUGCCUUCAUGACUGCAAAGCUCGAGGAUGCGAGAGGUGAAUGGGAUUCCGCGUGUAGAGGUGAAAUUCGUAGAUAUUCGGAAGAACACCAGUGGCGAAGGCGAUUCACUGGCGCAUUUCUGACGCUGAGGUGCGAAAGCGUGGGGAGAAAACAGG